This 3899-nucleotide unclassified non-coding RNA is filed under the name Leishmania donovani. RNAcentral describes it as "gene:LdHU3.21.0640(CDS-product:Tetratricopeptide_ repeat_putative)". The record is from RNAcentral. Lineage: Eukaryota; Euglenozoa; Kinetoplastea; Trypanosomatida; Trypanosomatidae.
CUGUAGAGGAGGCGCUAUUUUGACUCAACGGCGUCGCUGUCCGUCAGCACGCCGAACACCAUCGGAAGGACUGCUGAGAGAGAGGGGCGCUGUGGUGCGUUCCACGCCGUUGCUAUUGAGGUGCCUGUACAGGCAGAGCGGCAUCAUGUCUGCCAUCACUUCAUUUGCCGCUGCUGCCAACAGCACCGUCGGUGCGUCCCCCGCGGAGUACGUGAAUUACGUGGACAUCAAGCUAGAUGGUGUGCACCACCUUCCCGCCGAUUGGGUCUCCGCCGGCUUUCCUGUCCUGACAUCCGGCACGGCAGGUGGAGCGGCCGGUGCUGGUGCCAACCAUGCGCACGUGCACGACAAGGAGGGUCUGACGGAGGAGACGGAGGUCGCCUACGCGUAUCACCCGUUCCGCUACGAGGUUACCCUCGCACUGCCCGCUGCGACCACGAAUGCGACGGCGGCUGCAGACAACGAUGAGGCGGACGCGGCUACUGCCGAGACUUUCAGAGAGGAGCCGCCGCCGAACACCGACGAGGGCGCAAAACUAGGCAUGUCCAUUGUCGCCUCCUUUACGCGCGGCCGGCUGCUGGCGCCCUUGCCGCAGUAUACGGCGUACAUCGCGGCAGCGGAGCCGGCGCCGGCCCCCGGUGUGGACGACGCCAGCCCGCUGCGAGACGUGCCUGUCUCCAUCAGCGCGGAAAGCGAAAUGGCCGCUGCCGGCGCGGCCGGCGACGAAAGGGAGGCGUCCGAGGCAGGCAAGGCGUCUGACAGAGUGGCCGCCGCUGGCGCCACGCCGGCUGUUCUGUGGGUCGUGACGGAGCGGACGGACGCGCCUGGCGCCAGCGGUGGAGCGAAUGGCGUCGAUGCCGUGGGAAUGGUGGCCACAAAGCGCCGAGCGAGGUCGACCACGCCCCUCGCCCCCGCUGCGUCUGCUGCCGCUGCUGCUGCUGCUGCUUCGGCAAACAAUACCGCCGCUGCAGCCGUUCCGGGAGCGCCUGCGCCGCCAGUGCCAGAGCCCAGUGAGCCGGCUCCGUGCGUCGUGCGCGUCCCUCUGACAGCCGUGCAGGAGGCGUACCUUGAAGGCUUGCUAGAGGCUGGCGCGCCGCUGAAGCUGAGCUUCCGCCGCGUCCUGCGUCCCGGCUGCCCGGCCGAGUGGGAGGACUUCAACGCCGGCUACUUCGAGGCUGAGAUCCCGAUCUCGCUGCACGCCUUGGCGGAGCCGGGGUCGACGCACCUGGCUGCUGAUGUGGCACUGCAACCGACGAACGCGCCGGAGAAGCGCGCCGCCGCUGGGUCGGUGCCGUCGGAGAACGACCCGGCCGACCGCGGAAAGAAGCGCACCGUCACCCGCAAGCAGCGUCAGAUGGUGCCCAGCAUCCUCAUCGACGUACCCGACCGCGACGCCCCACACCCGUACGUGACGGCUGGCACUAUGGCCACCGUCUCCCUCACGCUGCAGCGCACUCUCACUCCUCUCGUCAGUGACCGCGUGCGGCCUGCCGUCACGCCUACCCAGCUGAUCCCUCCGCGGCCCACGCCGACGGUGUCCGCUGCGGCCGCCGAUGACACACAGACGCGACUCCAGCAAACGUUGCUGGGGGUUGUGCGGCAGCUGGUGCGCGAUAUGCGCGGCGCAACUCAGAUGAAGUCGUGCGGAUUGUCUGGGUCUGACGACGCGGCCUGGCGCACCGACUUUGUGGCGGCUCUGCAGAGCACCGGUGAGCUGGCCGCCUUCAAGAGUCAGCUGACGCCGCUGGUGACGAGCCUGGUGCAGGAGCGUCUGCGGAGCGGCCUUACCGGUGGCGGAUCGCCGCAGGAGGUGGCACGGGCGAGCAACGAGCUUUACGUUCAGCUCAUGGACAUGCUGCACAGUGCCCUGCACGAGUGUGCCGGCGAAGGCGACGCGGUAUCGAGCGUGCCACAGCUUCGGACCACUUCGAGCGGUGGUGCGCCGAACAGCGGCGAGGAGCAGGAGGUGCGGUGGCGCGCGAUCGAGGCGGAGGUGAGCGGGGACUUCGAGCUUGCUGCGAAGCUGUACCAAAGCCGUCUGGCCUCGCACGUCGCAGGGGACAACUGGGCGGCACUUUGGGUGGACUGCGGCCUCUUCUACCAGCGCACCGAGGAGUUGGCCAAGGCGGAGCAGUGCUACCGCGAGGCGAUUGCCUGCGACCCGUAUUGCACGUCGGCGUUGCUCGACUACGGAGCAUGGCUGCUUGCCCAGGACCGGCUGGAUGAGGCGGCCGUGUUCUUGCACGGCCUCGUCGACAUUGCACCGCAGCACAAGCUGGGAUGGGGCUGCAUUGCGCUGCUGGCGGACUUGCACGAGUUGGCGGUCCGCGUUGGCAGCCCGGACGCGGCGGUGGAGCAGCAGAAGUGGCGCAGGGAGCAGCGUCUGGCGCUGCGGAAGGCGGCAGAGUGCGGAGCUGUGAGCCCGAGCCACGCCACCGGUGGUGCCGACAGCGGAGGGCUUUCGGGGAGCAGCGGCCCGGCCAACGACUCCGUCCCGACACCUCCUCCUGCAUCAUCGCAGCGGGACGCUGAGGAGGAGCUAAUGUACUUGGAGGUGGCGACAUACCUCGUGAACCUGCACCACCGCGAUUUGGCGAACGUGUGCUUGGCACGGUGCCGACCCGGGGCGCUGCAGGUGGAGCUGCUGUACGCGCGUCUGUUCACGCAGGGUGGGCAGUACGAGGAGGCGCUCAGGACACUGGACGAGAUCAACACGCCGUCCGGCGCGCACACAUCUAUCUCCGCGGCGGAGCAGCGUCUUGUAGACGAGUGUGCGCUGCUGCGUGCCGAGUGCGCCGCCGCGCUCGGGCGUCCGUCCGAUGCUGUGAGGGUGUACAAGCAGGUCCUGUGCCGCGGCGAGCCGCCCACGGCGCCUCCGUACCUCGGGACCCUGACGACAAACUGGCAGGCGCAGCUUCAGGAGGUGCAGUCAUUCGGCAUGGCUGGCAAGAGUGGCGCGGCAAGGCCGGCGCAGGCGCUGCUGGACCAGCGCAUCACAGAGGCCGAAAGCAUGCACUACUUGUCCGCUUACCUGCAUCUGUGCAACUUACUCCUGAGGGAGGGUCGCUACCGGGACGCGCUGGGCGUCGUGACGCUCGCGCUGCAGGUGUGGCCGAGCAGCUCGGUGUUGUGGCUCGGCGCCGGCGUCGCCUACUACCGCGCUGGCGACCUGCUGCCGGCGGAGGAGUGCCUGCAGGAGAGCAACACGCUGAACCCGGCCAACCCGCGCACAUGGGCCUACCUCGCCCUGCUGGCGGUGCGGCUGCACAAUGUUGGGGUGGAGGAGGUGGUGCAGCAGCUGCUGACCCUAAACCUGGAGGACGCUCCGUUGUGGGCUGAGCUGGGCCGCACCCUGCUGGGCACUGCGCGAUUUCCACGGCUGAGCGUGCUGUGCCUGCGCCGGGCUGCCGCGCUAGUGUCUGGCAAGGGUGGCGCCGUUGAUGCCAUCUUGCCGUCGACGCAGUACCACCUCGCACACGCGCUGAUGGAGCUGCAGCAGUGGGAGGAGGCGGAGCAGCUGCUGGGCAAGGUCGCCUCGAACAGCGGCAGCAAUGAGGUGCUGCGUGGCAAGGCGGAGGAGGAGCUGGCGGUGCUGCGCGCCGGUCAGUAACGCAAUGGUGGUACAACAGGAAUGACCUCUGCGCGUCUUUGUGUAUGAAAAUACUCGUGCGUAUCUGCCGCGUGUGUGCACGGGAGCGGGCAGAGCAGGCGCGCCAGAGCUUAGGAGCAAAGUUGAAAUGCAGACCUCAUACACACGUGCGUGCGCGUGUGUGUGUGUGUCCGCCUGUCCUCCCCCUCCCCAUCGCGCGUGCGUCUUGCGGUGGCGCUCGUCCUUUGCUCGUUUCUCAUGUACAGGCUUUUUUUUUUUGAGCGAGCGCCUCUCUCCGUUCUUUGUAUGU